Molecule: transfer RNA, 72 nt
Filed under: Klosneuvirus KNV1
Lineage: Varidnaviria; Bamfordvirae; Nucleocytoviricota; Megaviricetes; Imitervirales; Mimiviridae
Description: tRNA-Pro
Rfam family: tRNA
About the family: Transfer RNA (tRNA) molecules are approximately 80 nucleotides in length. Their secondary structure includes four short double-helical elements and three loops (D, anti-codon, and T loops).
Source: RNAcentral
GGCCUCAUAGUUUAGUGGUAGAAUAUUUGUUUCGGGAACAAAUGACGUCCAGUUCGAUUCUGGCUGAGGCCC